UCCCUGGUGGUUCAGUGGUUAGGACAUGGCACUAACACUGCCCUGGUCUCGGUUCAAUCCAGGUUGGGGAA
Molecule: transfer RNA, 71 nt
Filed under: Ovis aries (sheep)
Lineage: Eukaryota; Metazoa; Chordata; Mammalia; Artiodactyla; Bovidae
Rfam family: tRNA
About the family: Transfer RNA (tRNA) molecules are approximately 80 nucleotides in length. Their secondary structure includes four short double-helical elements and three loops (D, anti-codon, and T loops).
Source: Rfam by way of RNAcentral